CUCAGGGAGGGCUCAGCUCUCACUCUUAACCACAAGUAGGGAUUUUGGUUGUUUCUUGCUUCUUUGAAUGGGAUUUGGGGCACAACAUAGGCUAUGAAAACUUGUUUGGAUUUCAGUCAGGAUCCCACUUUGAACCAAGUCUUAUUUUUUAUUUUUGAAUUUAAUUUAAUUUUUCAAUUUCCAAUAUAAGCUGAAAGAUGAGGACUAAUUUGAUUCAUUUUGGUCUCCUCUUCCUCUAUUCUCCCCACCCCCCCCAUAUAAUUUUUUAGGUCUCUACUUCAUGCAUAUUUAGUAAUACUAGCUCUCCAAGUUUAAUUUAGGAAAAUGAUUCUCAAGAACAAAACAUUGGUGUGUCAAUUUUGAUUGGGGACCAAAACUCUAAUUUUUAGAGCAGCUUUUGUAUUUAGUAAGUUUAGAUCCUUUCAAACUACCUUGUUUGCAUAAGCCUUCCCUGCUGAGCUCUCAGUGACAGGAUCUUGGCCCCACACACAUCCACACACUCUAACCUUUCUCAUUUCCAGGGGCUGCUUUCCCUUAUGGGACUAGACCCCAGGAAUUGUGCUUAUCCUCUCAGCAACUGGGAUGUGAACUAGAGGGCAGUUUCUGGUGCGUUUUCUAAGAAACCUCUGAAUUCUAGCUAAAAAAAAAAUUAUAAAAUGAGAAUAUUUUUUUCAAUUUUUUAAAAUUAAUCUUUUUAUAAAAUGAAAACUCCUGUGAUUAAUAAAGGAAGGCAAUUGUGGUUGUGUGGUUUUGGGAUUAUUUUUUUAUUACAGUUUGUGUUUUAAAUUUAAAUUUUCUCAAAAGACAUUGAGAGAAAACAAUUAUCUGUAAUGAGUCCCUAUGCUUGCUACAAGCAGGUGAAUCAUAAGGAGUUCAUAUGUUGUUUAAAAAAAAAAAAAGAAAGAUUGCCUCCUUCCCCUUCUGUACCUCUGCCUUUUCCACCUUCAGAUGGUUGUACUACUUUUUGUUCCCUCACUUUGCGAAAUUUCUAUAGUUUAGUUGAUUUUGCUUGAAUGAUUCAUGUUUAGGGGGAAAAAAUUAAGUUUGUUUCAACUCCUAGAGCAAAUAAAGAAAAUAAGCACUCUCA
RNAcentral lists this long non-coding RNA (1087 nucleotides) under Monodelphis domestica (gray short-tailed opossum). Its description in RNAcentral is "lncRNA (ENSMODG00000037400.1)". The record is from RNAcentral. Lineage: Eukaryota; Metazoa; Chordata; Mammalia; Didelphimorphia; Didelphidae.